CCUACGGGGGGCUGCAGUGGGGGAUAUUGCACAAUGGGGGGAACCCUGAUGCAGCGACGCCGCGUGGGUGAAGGAGCGUUUCGGCGCGUAAAGCCCUAUCGGCAGGGAAGAAGGAGGACGGUACCUGACUAAGAAGCCCCGGCUAACUACGUGCCAGCAGCCGCGGUAAUACGUAGGGGGCAAGCGUUAUCCGGAUUUACUGGGUGUAAAGGGGGCGCAGACGGCAGCGCAAGCCAGGAGUGAAAGCCCGGGGCCCAACCCCGGGACUGCUCUUGGAACUGCGCGGCUGGAGUGCAGGAGGGGCAGGCGGAAUUCCUGGUGUAGCGGUGAAAUGCGUAGAUAUUCGGAGGAACACCGGUGGCGAAGGCGGCCAACUGGGCUUUAACUGACGCUGAGGCUCGAAAGUGUGGGGAGCAAACAGGAUUAGAUACCCUGGUAGUC
Molecule: ribosomal RNA, 441 nt
Filed under: uncultured bacterium
Lineage: Bacteria
Description: partial 16S ribosomal RNA
Rfam family: Bacterial small subunit ribosomal RNA
Source: RNAcentral